UCUUAAAGGACAUGUUGCACCAAAAUCAUAACUUAGAUUUAGGUUGUUAGUGAUCAUCCGAUGAUCCACCGGGAUUACUUUGUGACCUAUCUCUAA
Long non-coding RNA from Thalassophryne amazonica, 96 nucleotides. RefSeq lists it as uncharacterized. The transcript is spliced from 3 exons. Lineage: Eukaryota; Metazoa; Chordata; Actinopteri; Batrachoidiformes; Batrachoididae. The record is from RefSeq and is a predicted model, not a curated record.